AAGUCGUAACAAGGUUUCCGUAGGUGAACCUGCGGAAGGAUCAUUACCAAGUUUAAUCCAAAACACUCAACCCAUGUGAACCAUGAAAUGUCUGUCUUUGGGGUGGAAGAGUAUCUAGGCGCAAGUCUGGUGAAUUUCACCCCACAUGUGUAAACAUCCUUUUUAUUUUGUAUUGGCAUCUACUUGUCUUAAUUAAAUAUUAGACAACUUUUAACGGUGGAUCUCUUGGCUCGUG
RNAcentral lists this unclassified non-coding RNA (235 nucleotides) under fungal sp. RNAcentral describes it as "partial internal transcribed spacer region". The stretch from base 1 to 46 matches the Rfam family "Eukaryotic small subunit ribosomal RNA", at positions 1786 to 1831 of the family's 1831-position model. The record is from RNAcentral. Lineage: Eukaryota; Fungi.